CUACCAGACUCCUACGGGAGGCAGCAGUGGGGAAUAUUGCACAAUGGGGGGAACCCUGAUGCAGCAAUGCCGCGUGGGUGAAGAAGCACUCCGGUGCGUAAAGCCCUGUCAGCAGGGAAGAAAAUGACAGUACCUGACCAAGAAGCCCCGGCUAACUAUGUGCCAGCAGCCGCGGUAAUACGUAGGGGGCAAGCGUUAUCCGGAUUUACUGGGUGUAAAGGGAGCGUAGACGGCGAAGAAAGUCUGAAGUGAAAGCCCGCGGCUCAACCGCGGAACUGCUUUGGAAACUUUUUUGCUGGAGUACCGGAGAGGUAAGCGGAAUUCCUAGUGUAGCGGUGAAAUGCGUAGAUAUUAGGAGGAACACCAGUGGCGAAGGCGGCUUACUGGACGGUAACUGACGUUGAGGCUCGAAAGCGUGGGGAGCAAACAGGAUUAGAUACCCGAGUAGUA
This 450-nucleotide ribosomal RNA is filed under the name uncultured bacterium. RNAcentral's name for it is "bacterial SSU rRNA". It matches the Rfam family "Bacterial small subunit ribosomal RNA", at positions 328 to 795 of the family's 1533-position model. The record is from RNAcentral.